This 211-nucleotide long non-coding RNA is filed under the name Mytilus galloprovincialis (Mediterranean mussel). The record is from RNAcentral. Lineage: Eukaryota; Metazoa; Mollusca; Bivalvia; Mytilida; Mytilidae.
GUCUGCAUAUAGUUUAACAAUCAUAAGAGGAACAGAUUCUUCCACAUAUUUUGUGAAGUACGAUAUUCCUCCUCCCUCGACAUUUCUAUUUUAAAUUUGAAAAUAUCUCGAGUAGAGAAAAAUCGUUUUACACACUUCCUAAUUUCCUAUAACAUACAAUUUCCUAAAGAUAACAGUAAGUUAUAUUUCAUAAAUACAAUAACAAAAUCAC